Long non-coding RNA from Oncorhynchus tshawytscha (Chinook salmon), 1031 nucleotides. The record is from Ensembl. NCBI's taxonomy places the organism in Eukaryota, Metazoa, Chordata, Actinopteri, Salmoniformes, Salmonidae.
CCAUUGUGGAGCAGGGAAAUGUGCCAACAGUCUCAAAUACCCAUUUUCAACUCUAAAAAAGUUCAGCUUCCAAAAAAAGUAUGGGAGAGAGAAAACUACUCGUUUCUUCUGAUACCGGAAGCAAAAUAACCCUAAUACGGGACGGCCUGUGGCCCGGUGAACAUUUUUUUAAAUUGUAGUUUUACUGUUUCCUCCAACAGGGAAAGGGAAGGGAGACGGCUUAUCCAAGUCAACCACUUCCCGGCUUCAUUCGGGAUGUUUAUGUCCGUUAUUCACGCGUGGGACUUCCAUGAAAACACGGGCGGCGCUUGUCGGAGCUGUGAGGACUUGCUCUGGUCGCCUGUCAGUGCGCCAUCCCUUCCGUCCGCUCUGUUCACCGAAUACCCAGUGAGGCAAAUCCGUGCACGAUGCUAGCGUAUCGUCAGCUCCCAAGUAACAGAGCAGAGGUCUCUCUUUGCAAGGGGCCGACAGUAAGUAGACUCUACUUACGCGCUCACAAAUCAGCUGUUGCUUCUGUGUGCCUCAAAGGAACUCUGUGUUAUCCUCAUCCUCUGGUCCUCCUAAUAAAAAACAAUACAAAAAUGGAAUUCCCUUUGGUUCUUCUUCAUUUGAUCUUGCCCAUAUUUACUCGAGAUAAAAAGGAGACCACAACUAGUACCAGAUCUGGCACCAUAGAUGUUGCAAGUUUUGGAGAGAGGUGAUACUUGAUCAUAUCACUAUGCCAGGCGACUUCACGAGAACGCGCAUAUGUAUACGCUAAUCCCGGUACAUAUGACUGAAGUGAAUGAAAUAGUUGGAGUUAACAGCUGUUAAAGUGUAAUAAACCCAGAAAAAAGUGCUGUGGCGGCCCAAAGCGCGCGGAGGCGCAGCAGUGGAUCGCGGCCGGAGAAGCGGAGGGCUGGUGAAUUAUUAAUAAACGGAGUGGUUCACAGUCUGUCGUGCUCAGUGAGUAACCAGGACGGCAGCUGGGGGUUAGAUGAAUUAAAUACGGACUCAGAGUAAACCGUGGACGGCAGGGGAUUACUACUCAC